RNAcentral lists this microRNA precursor (97 nucleotides) under Nicotiana sylvestris (wood tobacco). RNAcentral's name for it is "MIR6152 microRNA precursor family". It matches the Rfam family "MIR6152 microRNA precursor family". The record is from Rfam by way of RNAcentral. Lineage: Eukaryota; Viridiplantae; Streptophyta; Magnoliopsida; Solanales; Solanaceae.
UGGACAGAUUAUUGUAUUCGAUUGUAUUCACGGCGAGAAAUAGGGGAUUCCACUAUUUUUAAAACGGAAAGUGAAUCAAUUAACAUAAUAGACUCCU